Non-coding RNA from Cricetulus griseus (Chinese hamster), 2495 nucleotides. The record is from RefSeq and is a predicted model, not a curated record. Lineage: Eukaryota; Metazoa; Chordata; Mammalia; Rodentia; Cricetidae.
ACAAAGGCAAGAAGGAAGUGGGCUGCUUCUCUUUUUCUCCAGAGUCGCCAUGUGAUCCCAGGAUGAGGAUGCCAAUGGAAGGCUGUGCCUUGUUGUCGGAAACUCCACUUGACCAACAAAUCUUGACAACUUGAAGACGGAAGAUGACCAUGCACCUGGGUGGAAACAUGAACACCACCACGUAGCACUGGGUAUAGAAAGGUGCUAGUUUAUAAAUUUGCCAAGGCAAAUUAAGACUGUAAGGACACUUGACCGUAUUCAAAGCCUAUCUGAGAAACCAGGCCCAGGAAAUUACUGAAUCUACCAGGUCAAGAAAAGUAUAAAACUCCUUCAACUGGACCUCAUAAUGAUAUGGACACCCAGAACAGGGAUGGUGACAGCACCCAUCAACCUGUCAUCUGACUCCUGGUGUGGACAUCAAAAAACAACCCGUGAAGAACCCCAAACUGUCUCUGGGGAUCAGUUCAGCUCAUUCCCGCUAUUGACAUAGUCUACUCAAUGGUCAUCUAUCCAUCUGCCUAGUCACCCGGCUAAGACCUCUGUCCAUCUCCUGUCCCUUCACCUGGACUCAGUCCCACCCUUGGACCUCUGCAGCUUGACUCAUCACUGUGUCUUCACUCUUAGAGCUGUGACUCACACAAUCAAAUUCUACAGCAGCAGCUUGCAACCGCUGCCACCACAGACUCCAUUUAUACUCCCCAAAUCUCUUGAAACUCUGUACUCCUCUGUGGUGCUCAGAGUGAGGCUGCACCCCAUGGGUGAGGCUUGGUCGAUAGUUUGUGUAGUUUGUGAAGGAUUAAGAGGUGUGGCCUUGUUAGAAGAGGUGGAUCGAUAGAGAUGGGUUUUGAUGUUUCAAAAGUCCAUGCCACUCCCAGUUAGCUUUCUCUGCCUUGCAGUUGUGUCUUGGAAUGUAAGGUCUCAGCUAGGACCCCAGCGCCCUGCCUACCUGCCAGCUGGCAUGCUCCCCACCAUUAGGAAUAUGGACUCAAGCUUUCUGAAACUGUAAGUUCUAUAAGUUGCCUUGAUCGUGGUGUCUCUUCAAAACAGUUCAGAAGUAGCAACACAGCUGUACCAUAGAACACAAAGGUCAGUGACAGCAUGGAUAUUGGUUCUGGAAGCCAGAGGUUGAACCUAGAAGACCUGUAAGGUCCAAAGCAAACAGCCUAGAGGGAAGCAGAAUCCUUCAGCAGCUUCUUCCACCCACUUCUGCGGGGACCAGCCAAGCACUGCCGCCUCCAGUCCUGAACCUGUUGCUUCAGCACAAGGCCUGUGCUCAUUCCACAAGCUGUCUGAACCUAUGGGCGUCUUCCCUGAGUGACAAUCACCUUUGUGAUACUUAUGAACAAGAUCCAUCCGCGUGCUCACAAAGGUGACAGGAAAAGUCCAAGACGGGUGUUAUUUCUUUUAUUCGUGUUGUCUCUAAAUAGAAUCACAUUAAGGAAAACAGAAAUGAUAAGGCUGUAUCAAUACUUGUCUAUAUAGAUGGACAGACACAUAUACACAUGACCUGAAUGUUAUUUUUCUAAUUACUCUACACCUACGAUUUACAUUGUGUCUCACCGUUAGCAUUGUGUCUUCUAUGAGCUUUGAGAAAUGUUAAAUGGCAUGUAUCUAUCAUUUUGAUGUUAUAUAGAAUAGUUAAUUCAUCUGAAAAACCCAUGUGUUCUAUCUACUCAUCUUUAUUUCUCCCUGGUCCUUGGUUGUCAUUCAUAUUUUGUUUUACUGUUUCCGUGGUUUUGACUUUUUCAGAAUGUUCCAUAUAGUAAGAAUCGUAUAGUGUGUAGAUUUUUUUCAUAUUGGUUUCUUUCACUUAGUAAUAAAUAUUUAAAGUUUUCCCUAUGUAUUUGUGGCUUGAAAGGUACCCCUUUUCAGCGGGGAAGAAUAGGCCUUCGUUGGAUAUACCACAGUUUAUUUGCUCACUUACCUGCUGUAGGAUAUUCUGGUAAUUAUGACUAACAUUGCUAUAAACAUCCCAUUUAGCUAAACCUUCCAAAAAUAUCUCCCCAAAGUGUCUUAGGGACUUUGCAUUGGUGAUUUGUUAGAGUUCCUGUCACUUCCGUUCCUCACAGCAUUAGAUCUUGUCAGUUCUUCAGAUCUUUUCCAUGCUGGCAGGUAUUACACAUCUUGCUCGUGUUUUAAAUAACAGCUGAAAUUCCCUGCCAAUUAAGUCUUUUUAAAGCAGAGACAAGCAAAAAUCAAAAAUCAGUAACAACAAUAAUAAAAAACAAACUACCCAUUAUACCCAUUGCCCUAUCAGCCAAGUACUUUUCAUAUUUGGUGUAUUAUCUAUGUAUAUGAAUGCAUUUCUCUCAUUUUUCUUCUUCUAAAGCUAUAUGGAGAUCAAUUAAGCUAAAAGAAAACUCAACAUGUUCAUUUGUAGCAGAGUUAGAAUUAAUUGUAAUAGUUUGCCCUUUGAUCUGACUUUGGGAAACCAAGCCAAAUGUCAUUUAAUUGUUAUUUAAUCCUUCUCAAAAUAUAGCUGUGUUGAUGAAUCA